RNAcentral lists this ribosomal RNA (478 nucleotides) under uncultured bacterium. Its description in RNAcentral is "partial 16S ribosomal RNA". It matches the Rfam family "Bacterial small subunit ribosomal RNA", at positions 28 to 523 of the family's 1533-position model. The record is from RNAcentral.
GACGAACGCUGGCGGCGUGCUUAACACAUGCAAGUCGAACGGUAAGGCCCUUCGGGGUACACGAGUGGCGAACGGGUGAGUAACACGUAGGUGAUCUGCCCUGCACUUCGGGAUAAGCCUGGGAAACUGGGUCUAAUACCGGAUAGGACUCCGGACUGCAUGGUCUGGGGUGGAACGCUUUUGCGGGGUGGGAUGGGCCCGCGGCCUAUCAGCUUGUUGGUGGGGUGAUGGCCUACCAAGGCGACGACGGGUAGUCGGCCUGAGAGGGUGACCGGCCACACUGGGACUGAGAUACGGCCCAGACUCCUACGGGAGGCAGCAGUGGGGAAUAUUGCACAAUGGGCGCAAGCCUGAUGCAGCGACGCCGCGUGAGGGAUGACGGCCUUCGGGUUGUAAACCUCUUUCAGCAUCGACGAAGCGAAUGUGACGGUAGGUGCAGAAGAAGGACCGGCCAACUACGUGCCAGCCGCCGCGGUAA